RNAcentral lists this ribosomal RNA (330 nucleotides) under uncultured Anoxybacillus sp. RNAcentral's name for it is "bacterial SSU rRNA". It matches the Rfam family "Bacterial small subunit ribosomal RNA", at positions 1051 to 1382 of the family's 1533-position model. Lineage: Bacteria; Bacillati; Bacillota; Bacilli; Caryophanales; Anoxybacillaceae. The record is from RNAcentral.
GUCGUCAGCUCGUGUCGUGAGAUGUUGGGUUAAGUCCCGCAACGAGCGCAACCCUCGACCUUAGUUGCCAGCAUUCAGUUGGGCACUCUAAGGUGACUGCCGGCUAAAAGUCGGAGGAAGGUGGGGAUGACGUCAAAUCAUCAUGCCCCUUAUGACCUGGGCUACACACGUGCUACAAUGGGCGGUACAAAGGGUCGCGAACCCGCGAGGGGGAGCCAAUCCCAAAAAGCCGCUCUCAGUUCGGAUUGCAGGCUGCAACUCGCCUGCAUGAAGCCGGAAUCGCUAGUAAUCGCGGAUCAGCAUGCCGCGGUGAAUACGUUCCCGGGCCUU